GACGAACGCUGGCGGCGUGCUUAACACAUGCAAGUCGAACGGAAAGGCCCUGCUUUUGUGGGGUGCUCGAGUGGCGAACGGGUGAGUAACACGUGAGUAACCUGCCCUUGACUUUGGGAUAUCUUCAGGAAACUGGGGCUAAUACCGGAUAGGAGCUCCUGCUGCAUGGUGUGGGUUGGAAAGUUUCGGUGGUUGGGGAUGGACUCGCGGCUUAUCAGCUUGUUGGUGGGGUAGUGGCUUACCAAGGCUUUGACGGGUAGCCGGCCUGAGAGGGUGACCGGCCACAUUGGGAGUGAGAUAGGGACCGGACUGCUACGGGAGGGAGGAGUGGGGAAUGUUGCACAAUGGACGGGAGCAUGAUGCAGCAACGCCGCGUGCGGGAUGACGGACUUCGGGUUGUAAACCGCUUUCGCCUGUGACGAAACGUGAGUGACGGUAAUGGGUGAAGAAGCACCGGCUAACUACGUG
This 468-nucleotide ribosomal RNA is filed under the name uncultured bacterium. RNAcentral describes it as "partial 16S ribosomal RNA". It matches the Rfam family "Bacterial small subunit ribosomal RNA", at positions 28 to 507 of the family's 1533-position model. The record is from RNAcentral.